AUGCUGCUCCUUUGCACUGAGCAAGGUGACGAACAUUUCAUAGCUAACUUUCUAGAUGAAGAGGGCCCAGAACCUGCUGAUUCAGCUUCUAUGCAUGAUUCUGGUAAUUUUGUUCUCUACAAUAACUCUUCUCAUGUUAUUUGGCAAAGUUUUGAUAACCCAACUGACAACAUAUUAGGAGGUCAAAACUUGUCCAAAGGAGACGAGUUGGUGUCUAGGUCAGACCACUCAAGUAGACGUUAUUGUCUCAAGAUGAAGACCAAUGGAAACCUCGUUUCCUCCCCUGUAAACAGUACAGAUGGUUCACAAAAUGCCUAUUGGUACGUGGACACUUUCGAUUUCUCUGGUGUUAAGCUCAGUCUUAACGAAAGGGGUUUUCUACGCUUAACCACUUACAGUUCCAGCUUAGUCAUUUUGGCGAAUAAUUCUUACCCUGGCAAGAAAGAGACUAGUACUAUUAUCUAUCGUGCAAUACUUGAUUCUGACGGAAUUUUUAAGUUGUAUUCACACCACUUUUGGGGCAAUAGUAAUACUAGCUCAAAUGUGUCCUUGGAAUGGUCAUCUUUGCAUGAUCAAUGUGAAGUCAGAGGUUUUUGUGGCUUGAAUAGUUACUGCACGGGCACUGGCUCCAAAGCAGAAUGUCACUGUUAUCCUGGAUUUCAUUUCUUGAACCCCAAAAAUAAGUGGUUGGGCUGUUACAACAACUUCAGUGAAGAUGGUUGCAGCAAAGGUCCAGUGAUACACUACAACAUUACUGCUUCACCGAAUAUAUCUUGGGGUGAUUUUCCUUAUUCAGUGCAACUUAUAAAUCCGGAAAACUGUUACAAGUCUUGCCUUGGAGACUGUAAUUGUGGGGCUGCUUUUUAUUUCUACGUGGAUGGCACUUGCAAUAAAUUCAAGCUUCCACUUAGAUAUGGUAGAAGUCAAAAUUUAUCAGUUAUAGCUUUCUUUAAGGUGAUUCAGAGAAAUGGUGGAAGUUUAGAUGAUCACAAUCCAGUUUUCCUAAAGGAUAGCAAAAAAAAAAUCAUUUUGAUUCUUUCCCUAACUUUGGGUUCCAUUGCAUUGCUGUGUUCUUGGUUUUCUUACAAUGAGCUUGAGAACGCAACAGACGGAUUCAAGGAAGUGUUAGGUGAGGGUUCUUUUGGAUCAGUUUAUAAAGGGUAUAUAUCCGAAGCUAACAAAACUAUUGUUGUUAAGAGACUAGAGAAAUUUGUGGAAGAAGGGGAAAGGGAGUUUCAAGCUGAAAUGACUACCAUUGGACGAACUCAUCAUAGAAACUUAGUUCAGUUGCUUGGUUUCUGUAUUGAGGGAUCUAGGAAGCUUCUUGUUUAUGAAUACAUUAGCGGUUCACUUGCAGAUCUUCUCUUCAAGGCUAAGAAGCGCCCCCUUUGGAAGGAAAGAGUGAGAAUCACACUAGAAGUGGCUAGGGGGGUCUUCUAUCUACAUCAAGAGUGCGAGGUCCAUAUCAUCCAUUGCAAUCUAAAACCUCAAAAUAUACUCAUGGAUGAUACUUGGACCGCAAAGAUCUCAGAUUUUGGAUUGGCGAGGCUAUCUGUGCCGAAUCAAACAAGAAUUUCAAUGGGCAUUGAAGGGACAAGUGAGUACUCUGCACCUGAAUGGCAGAAAAAUUCCCCGAUAUCAGUAAAAGCUGACAUUUAUAGUUUGGCGUGCUGCUUUUGGAGAUUGUAUGUUGCAGAGGCAGCAUAGAAGUAAAUGUUUUAACAACAGAUGAGAUACUUCUUUCUAACUGGGUAUAUAAUUGCUUUGUGGCUGGACAGUUGGAUAAGCUUGUGGAAGAUGAAAAUGUAGACAUGAAGACACUAGAAAGAAUGGUGAAGGUCGGCUUGUGGUGCAUUCAAGAAGAUCCAGCUUUGCGUCCUCCCAUGAAGAAUGUAAUCUUGAUGUUAGAGGGGACAAUGGAUGUAGCGGUCCCUCCAUUUCCUAAAUUGCAAGUUUUUGUAAUUUAA
RNA transcript from Quercus lobata, 1967 nucleotides. It is a transcript of the gene named G-type lectin S-receptor-like serine/threonine-protein kinase LECRK3, with no coding region annotated. The record is from RefSeq and is a predicted model, not a curated record. The transcript is spliced from 2 exons. Lineage: Eukaryota; Viridiplantae; Streptophyta; Magnoliopsida; Fagales; Fagaceae.